Molecule: long non-coding RNA, 4274 nt
Filed under: Macaca mulatta (Rhesus monkey)
Lineage: Eukaryota; Metazoa; Chordata; Mammalia; Primates; Cercopithecidae
Description: lncRNA (ENSMMUG00000053790.1)
Source: RNAcentral
AUGGUGACAGAGUGGUCACCCGGGAACCGGAUCUGCGCGGCUCUGUGGCCUAAAGAGGCAGCCGAGCCUGCCUGCGUCCUUAGGCCGCCUUCCAGGGCCCUACACGCCCUAAUGGCCUCCGCCCGCGGCGUUCCAGCGGCCGCCAUGCUUCCCGGCCCGUCACGCCCGCCGCCGCCCAAAGGCGCUGCGUCCCGGCGGCUCUGCCGGGGUUUCAUUGAGGCCCGGCAGGCUUGGGCCGGAAGACCCGGCGGCCGGCCGAGUCCGGGCUGGGAGAGGCCGCCGCCGCCAUCAGUCACCGAGGUGGGGUGGGGAAGAGAGGUUCGCUGCGGCUUCAAGGCCUGGGCACAGCCAGUGGGCAGCCGCAGCAGAGGCCUCCGGUAUCUGCAUAGCACAGGAACCAUCUUCUCCUCUCUGGACCUGCACAGCUAGGACUGCAGUGAACAAAGGAAGAUGCUCCUUCAUGGUUAAACCAGUAGGUGAGGCUGAUGUAUGAUGGUCUUGGUUAUAUAUUCUACAUAGUUGUACAGAACUACUUAAAAAUCUAGUCUUUAUAAAAGUAAUGAUACACCAAAGGCAUUUUAUAAUAAUGCAUGUGGUGUCUGUAAGAACUCUGAAUAUUGGGUGUUUUUUUGAAAAAUGUUCUUCUUGUAAGUUCUGAAUGACAUCUGAGGAUAUAAUAUGUGGGCAUGAACACAGUUCAAUAUCCAACUCCCACCCUUGUUCCUGGAGAAACACACACACACACACAAUGGUUUUCUGGAAAGAUGUCAAAUCUCUGUUGUUGUUAACAGUUUUUCCAUGGAGAAUAGAUUUUAAUUUUUUCUACAUAUAGUUUCCUGUUAUGCCAGGAGAGGAAAUGUUUUCUCUUGUUUCUAGCAAACAGACAUGCAUGGACAAUGGGAAACCAUGUUCGGAAGGGAGGAGGGAACCUUGCUCCCUGGCAGAGAGGACAGCUCAUAUAAGAAUCCUCAGUCCCCCGAUUUUGAUACCCCUUUCUUCCUCUAUGGCCACUUUUAGCGACGUGAUUGCAGUGUUCAUGUCUGGUCAACACCUACAAUGGCUGGCUGUGAAUACCUAAGAAGAAUCACAGCACCAGAUGUGGCAGAAGGAAGAAGAUAUUGAAUUAGAAAUAGUGAUGAUAAUCUCCCGUUUCAAGUACAUUGAUGAAGAUAAAGCACAUUCUUAUGAGAGCCCUGGUAUCUUCCCUUUGGCCAGUAGAAGGAGUGGAGUUGGUAGAACCUGAGACCCAGGAAGGCCUGUGCCCAUCUGGCCAUCCUGACACCAGUUCAGAUCUCUUGCCUUUAACACCUCUUUGCCAUUUUUCCUCUCACCUUAUAGCCUGAUUUAGACUCUAUUGAUGACCAGCUGUGAUGCACCAGCAUAGUUCAUUAUGAUUACAGUAUUUGUUUUCAUGUUUACACUAAUGCAACCAUUAUUUCAGCACAAUGUCUUUCCAUUAUCUUUCUUCUCACCUAAGAAGGGCUUAUUAUUUUCUGGACUCACAGGAGUAACAGAAGCUUUAUGUGUAGCAAGACAAAGCAUCUUAACUGUGACAUGGGAACCUUGAUUAUAUCCAUUAAUAUAUGUCUUGUCAUUGUAUAUGUGUGUCCAUACAUUUUUAUGAUUUUAUUUCCAUUGGACUGGACUAAUUCCUGUUCUUGAACAUGCUUUGGGCAUUCCUACAUCUCUGCCUUCUUUCAUGCAUUCAUUCCACAUCAUCUUCACACUUCCCCAUGGUAAAUGCCCCAACUCCUUCCAUCUAUCUGCAUGUUUUGGAGUAGUUGGGUGGUUUAUUUUUUAUUUUUUAUAUUUUUUCUUAGAGUCCAGUUCUUGCUUGUCACCCAGGCUGGAGUGCAGUGGCAUGAUCAUAGCUCACUACAGCCUCGACUUUCUGAGCUCAAGAGAUCCUAUCGCCUCAGCCUCCUCUGUAGCCAGGACUGUGGGCAUUCACCACCAUUCCGGCUGAUAUUUUUAUUUUUUGUACAGAUGGGGUCUUGCUGUGUUGCCCAGGAUGGUCUUGAAUUCCUGGCCUCAAGCACUCCUCCCACCUUAACCUCCCAAGUGCUUACAAAUGUGAGCCACCAUGACUGACCUAUAUGCAUUUUUUAAAAAAAUUCAAGAUUUAACUGAAAUAUAUUUUGCUAUGACUCCCCUCCCCUUUUCAUCAGUGUCAUCUUUUGUUACUUAGAAAUUGUGUAUACAGUCUGCUAUUUAUUUGACAACUAUACUGCUGUAUACUCUUAGUUUUAUUUUUCUAUGUUUAAGCAUUAACUUUUAAAGUAAAUGUCAUCAAUAGAAUAAUGACCAAACUCUUGGACUUUGGAAAUAGAUUUAGUAUUGAAUCCUGGCUCUUCUGCUUCGUAACUGUACAAUCUCGAAGUCACUUAAUAAUUUCGAAGCUUCAGUUUCCUCAUGUGUAACACAAUCGUGGGAACCAUAAGGUUGUCAUGAGGAUUAAAUAAGAUAAUAUAUGUAAAUGAUUUAGGACAGUGAUUAAGAAUUAGACCUAAUAUUUGCUCAAAACUAUUUUUUCUGAUCUUCUAAAGAAAUUGCUAUGUUCAUAAAUUCAUCAAUCAAAUGGUGCUAGAGUGUUUGGCACAGAAUAUACUAGAUAAGACUAUUUCAAAGUAAAAAACCCUUUUCAUGAAAGACUGACAAUUACAUUCAUAAACAUCAUUCUCUCUUUUAGCACUAUCCUAGCUCCUUCCUAAUUGUUAGGAAUAAAUCCUGAGACAAUUGCAAACUGCCUUGCCUUUUUUCAGGACUCAGUAAAUCAGGUUGGAUGGCAUAUACACAUAAAUGCCAUUCCCCUUUGCUGAAAAAUAGCCAGUAGGAGCUGAAAAUAAGUUUGACUUUUCUCCCACUAUAGAGUUGAAGCCCAAAUUGAAGAAAAAAUAAGUAGGGCCUUCUCAUUACAUAUGUUUUUGGAGAAUCCAGGGAACUGUCUAUAGCUCUCUUUAGAGUAUAUAGAAGCAGGGGCAACAGAACUCUGUUUGUCUCCCAAUUUACUGUUUGGGACCAUUCUCAUUCUUUCCAGCCUUAUUUUAAGAGUCAGGCCCUAUUUUCUCUUUCCCUAGAGUUGCUAUUAGAUAAAACACCUGAAAAGACCUCUUCUUGCCUAUGUUUUCCUUAUUUUCACUCCUGGUCUUUAAAGCUGUGUCCCAAUCCAGCUCUUCUGAAUUGAGCAUUCUCCCCAACUUUGGAAGGUACCUCAAUUUGAAGUGUUUCAAUUCGCAUUCACAUUUAUAAUGUGAAUCAUGAUGUGUACACUUUGACUAUUAAUUGUUGUGGGGUUUAGUAAACUGUACAUCCAAUAAGAAAUGAAGGACAUUUGGGCUCUAAGUUCCAUCAUUAGCUAUUUUCUGAUUUUGUAUGCAUCGUUUAAUACCUGGGACCCCAUGUCUUUAUCUGCAAAAUGUAUGUAUUACUACUUAUUCUACUUCAGAAAAAUUUUACAAACAAAUUGUGUCAAUAAUGAUGAAGAUAUUUGGAAAUAUUAUGCUAUGUAAAUACAAUUAAAAUUUCCACUGCUAAUCAAUCAUUUUGCCCUAGUCUAGAAUAGAUAGAUUCCUGAAUAAAAUGUACUGGGCCAUAGAAUUAUUCCUAUAGUUGAUAUUUUCAAAAAUAUCAACUGAUUAAUAUCUCAAAAAUAUUAAUCAACAUAUGAGUUAUUUAAAUUCCUCUCAUUGUAUCCUUUAACCAUUUGAAUGGGGUUUUUAGUCACAUAGAGCGUAGAGAAAACAUUCAUAACUGCAUAAUAAGAACAAAGGAGAUUGCUAUUUGUUAUAAACAGGGAAAGUACCAGGAAGAGGGAACGGGAAGAGUAAAAUAAAACUAACACGUGUUUGUGUCUGUUAGGUACCAUUUACAAUCUAGGCAAUUUCUGUGUAUUCCACAUAAUCUCAAAAGAGAACAGAAUUAAACGACAUUAAGAAGAACAUUCAAAACACAGAAUGUGGACACUGAGGUUUCGUUCAUUUACUUGAUAUAUUUUUUUUUUCUAGGGCUGUAAAAACAAAUGAAAUAAAGAUAGAUUUAAGGUUGUUGCUCAUUCAUGACACUUAGUCACUGUAUGUUUUCCAAAAAACUAAAGAGGUUGUAAAAGAGGGAAAACAGAAAAAUGUGUUGAAUUUCCUUCAGCUGUUACUAGUCCUUUUAAUUUAAGCAUGCUCUCUUUAUUUUUAUUUUUUGUGUGUGACUUUUUUUACUCUAAUGUUUUCUAUCAUGCUCUCUUUAAAUAUUCAAUCACUCAUUUAUUCAUUCAAGAAUGCAAC